AUUCUUUGUGAGAACUGGUGGUGGCAUGAAAUGUAAUUGCUACAGUAAACUGAAUCCAAAGUCAAUCUGUACGUAUAAGGAAAUUAUAUAUGGGAAGCUAGCUGUUCCCAUAUGUAAUAGUUAUGGGAAGCUACCACACGUACAUACUCAAUUGCAUUGCAUGAUUAUAUAGCAAAUAUUCUCUAGAUUUGGUAGUAUCAACAUUAUAUCC
RNAcentral lists this long non-coding RNA (211 nucleotides) under Gossypium barbadense (sea-island cotton). Its description in RNAcentral is "long non-coding RNA (GBAR_LNC017485)". The record is from RNAcentral. Lineage: Eukaryota; Viridiplantae; Streptophyta; Magnoliopsida; Malvales; Malvaceae.